Acanthosepion pharaonis is the source of this 112-nucleotide non-coding RNA. NCBI's taxonomy places the organism in Eukaryota, Metazoa, Mollusca, Cephalopoda, Sepiida, Sepiidae. The record is from the annotation of a GenBank genome assembly.
UUACGGUCAUAUCACGUUAAAACAGAUUCUCGCACGAUCACUGAAGUUAAGCAACGUCAAGCCUGGUAAGUACUUAGAUGAAUGUCCGCUUGGGAAUACCAGGUGCUGUAAG